Molecule: long non-coding RNA, 3046 nt
Organism: Dreissena polymorpha
Lineage: Eukaryota; Metazoa; Mollusca; Bivalvia; Myida; Dreissenidae
Exons: 4
Source: RefSeq, a predicted model, not a curated record
CACGCAGAAAUAUUCAUUGGUUUAGGCGAGGCUUAAUGAAUAAUUUGCGUGUGUUGUUUAAUGCAAUUUCAAGUACCGCACUGUAAACCGAAUCGAUGCAUUCAAACAUGAAUACUCGUGCUAUGGGUGUUAGCGUCGUUGAAUAUAUUUUUGCCUAUAUAUUUCGGCCAUUGAUGAACACGGAGUUGAAUUUGUUCAACAAUGAUAAAGGAAAAGGGCAUGUAAGCAUCCAUGGAAAUUUCGCGUUUUUGAAGGUGUGUCAUGAAACUGCAAACACAAGUAUAGUUUCCGAAAAAAUAGUCUGUGAUCAACCUGCCAGCGGCAAUAUCUCAGCGCUCAAAACAGGAGAUGGUAGGGAAUGUAAAGAUUUGACGAAUGAAACAAUAUUUGUGGCGAUACACGGGGCUAAUAAUGUCAUAUUCAUUCUGGCCUGCCUACACGUGUUUAUAUUGACAGUCAGGGUACGAAAGAAAACACACAUAGAUGACAUGACUCUCGCUCAGCACGCAGCACUCAGUUGUUUUGUUUUUUUUGGAGAUUUUAAUGUUCAUUUGCUACAUAAUGUUUGCAACGAGGGUUCACCGAGCUGUAUGUUUGUCCGCAACAGAUUUUACGGCGUACUUCAAAGUCAUGGUCGUCUUUACCGGGUGUGCCUUUAACUUGAUGUUAAUCACGUUCAUAAUCUCAGUGAAAAAUUUGGGAGAGCAGUAUGGAAGACGCCGACGCUGAUAAGUGCAUAAAUGCGUAAUAAUCAGACGCUCGUCACAACAUGUUUAAACGAGUUGUAUAUUACGAAAAGAUCUUUUCAAAACUGAUUUUGAUGUUCAGCGGUAAUUUUUACGGAUGCUUAUGGACAGUGUUUAAUGACUUUUGCAAAUUUCACUACUUUCAUUUGCUCCGUUACAACAGACAUAAUAUUUAUGAAGUUAUAUAAGUAUUUAUUUCAGUGUUAAUUCAUUCACCGUUCGCUCAUUGAACACGGAAGUUAAAUGGUGUUUCAUUUUUUUUUCAAUGUUAUAAGCAUUAUUACUAUUCACAUUUGGUUUUCCAACUUGGCUAUAAUUAACCUAAGCAUGAGCUCAGCAUUUUGGUAUAAUGUAAAUAUAUAAAUUUGCCUGUAUUUGUUUUCAAGUGUAGCGACAAUAACAUAAAAUAAUCCAAAAGAAAAACAUCAUCCAUUUAUAUGGCGUCUAAAUUGGAAUUUAUCAUUUCAAAACAACAUGAUAUGCUUUUUAAUUUGUAAACAAAUAUUAUCCAUAAGUGUAUAGUAUAUGAAAAGAAUUCGCAAAGACUAUACAAAACUGUUACUCGUUUGUAUUUAUUUCUGUUUGUGUUGCACGUAUCGAAUUAUGUGCAAUGCAUAGCAUUUUUACCUCAUCAAGAGGUAUAUAAAAUUGAAAGAACAAUACUAUAUAAUCCCAUAAGCAUUAAAAUGAAGGUAAUUUAUUUUUUGAAAUAUUAGACAUAUAUCGACAUGUUUUUCCCAAAGAUUUUGUUAGGAACAUGGGCAACGACCCGCAGUUGGCAAUGGAUUCGUUAUUUCUUUCUAAUUUUACAUGUGCAAUAGUUAACUUCUACAUUAGUUUAUAGCCAAACACCAGGACAAAAUUCAGAUACAGUGGAACCCUUGUGUUUAAAGGAUGUGGGGAAGGACUGAAAGGUGUUCGGAAAAAAGCAAUAUAAUUAAUACCAUUUAGAAACCUAAUACGUCAUUUUACUAUUUACAUUUGUAAGGAAAAGAUAUAAGUGCGGAAAUAUACGUUUAUCUCACAUGCAGAAACAUAUCUUCUUUGACAAGUGUAUCAUAAGUAAUAUUCUAUUAACAUUUACUUUGUAAAAUGUAUUAUUUUGUAUAACAUAUCAUGUUUUAACUAAACCACACAGCUUUAUACGAGGACCGUGCAUGCUAAUGCUUAAUGGACAAUAUAAAGUAUGAUACAAUUACAAUGGGAAGCUAAAUAACGCGCAGAUAUAAACUUGACGUUUAGCUACAUACAUGUCUUCAUAAAUAACAUAUUGUACGUUAAACAGUGUAUUAUUUUCUGACAUAAUUUCGGCUUCGACAUUCGACCUUGAUCGAUAAUACAUUGUAAUUCCGUUCUACUUUACAAUGCUUAACUAAACUGAUUGUCAACUUAUGACGUGACAUGUAUGUUAUGAACUUAAUUUGAUUUAGUUGACGAGUAUUGUUUUGUUUUGUUACUGUCUUGGCAAAAAGAUAACUUCACAAUCUUUGUUAUGUCUGCUUAUUAAAUUGUGAUCGUCCAAGGGACUCAAGCUCCCCUCUCAGACUUCGCCCCUUGACCACCAGGUCACUUGGAUGGUUGGUUUGGUGUGCACGUGUUUAGACCAAUGUUCAUUGAUGAGACUGACAAGAAAAUACAAUGUGAACACAAAUCGCUCAUAUUGAUACACAAGGUAUGAAAAGCACUAUAUGAAAAAUGUUGGAACUACAAAAUCAACUGUUGUUUUCUAUGUAACACACAAACUCCUGUAUGUCACCUUCUAAAUGCAACGUAUAAAAGAAACCCUAUUCGAUAAGUUCCCCACUUCAUUCAAAAGAACACAUAAUUAGCUUUUUCCUAUAAUUUGUUCAUAUUGAUAUACUUUUGAAAUGCUUCAUAUGAGUGUUCGUUUGAUCUUAGGAAUUGGUGUUGGACACAUUAUGUUGCGUACGAUAAUUAUGAAAAACCUUCUACAUGUACAUUGUCGCGGAUUUUUUUUUCCAAACAUAUUUGUCGAUCGUAGUUCUAGCCGUCAUUAUUUUUUGUUUGAAGACAAUCGCUCGUUUUAAACCUCAAAACAGAAGUGGCGCUUUAAAAACAUAAAUAAUUUUCCUGGCCAUGCUAGAAAUAACACCGUUGCUGCUAUAAAUUCUUUUGUUUAUAACUUUCAGGUUAAUAAAGCUUUUUUGUCAUUCAAAUCAUUGUUACAUAAGACAGACGCGAAGCAGUCAAAUGUAUUACCGGUUUUCAUUGUGUCUGUAUAUACCUAUUUUAGGUAUAAACGUGAAACAUUUCACGGCUGUAAAAUCCAGUUGUAAAUG